Molecule: ribosomal RNA, 433 nt
Filed under: uncultured bacterium
Lineage: Bacteria
Description: partial 16S ribosomal RNA
Rfam family: Bacterial small subunit ribosomal RNA
Source: RNAcentral
AGCGAACGCUGGCGGCAGGCCUAACACAUGCAAGUCGAACGAACUCUUCGGAGUUAGUGGCGGACGGGUGAGUAACACGUGGGAACGUGCCUUUUGGUUCGGAAUAACUCAGGGAAACUUGUGCUAAUACCGAAUGUGCCCUUCGGGGGAAAGAUUUAUCGCCAUUAGAGCGGCCCGCGUCUGAUUAGCUAGUUGGUGAGGUAACGGCUCACCAAGGCGACGAUCAGUAGCUGGUCUGAGAGGAUGACCAGCCACACUGGGACUGAGACACGGCCCAGACUCCUACGGGAAGCAGCAGUGGGGAAUCUUGCGCAAUGGGCGAAAGCCUGACGCAGCCAUGCCGCGUGAAUGAUGAAGGUCUUAGGAUUGAAAAAUUCUUUCACCGGGGACGAUAAUGACGGUACCCGGAGAAGAAGCCCCGGCUAACUUCGUG